Molecule: long non-coding RNA, 359 nt
Organism: Gopherus flavomarginatus (Mexican gopher tortoise)
Lineage: Eukaryota; Metazoa; Chordata; Testudines; Testudinidae
Exons: 2
Source: RefSeq, a predicted model, not a curated record
UGUCCAUCAUUUCUGAGCUCCAGUAAUUCCAGUUUUCUGAGUAGAAGGCAAGGUGUGGAGAAAAUCUGACCAGUGCUAAUAAUGGCUAAUCCCUGCAGACCUAACAGAGAACCACAAAUGGCUACAAGCGAUUUGAGAAAUCACCAAGUCCAGCCCUGUGCACUGAGGCAGGACCAAGUAAACCUAGACCAUCCUGAUGGAUGUUUGUCCAACAUGUUCUUAAAUACCUUUAACGAUGAGGAUUCCACAACAUCCCUUGGAAGCAUAUUCCAGAGCUUAGCUAUCCUUAUAAAUAGAAAGUUAUUCCUAAUGUCUAACCUAAAUUUCAUUUACUGCAAAUUAAAUUCAUUAAUUCUUGU